GGACUGGAGUCUGCAACCCGACUCCACGAAGCUGGAUUCGCUAGUAAUCGCGCAUCAGCCACGGCGCGGUGAAUACGUUCCCAGGCCUUGUACACACCGCCCGUCAAGCCAUGGGAGCCGGGGGUACCUGAAGUGCGUAACCGCGAGGAUCGCCCUAGGGUAAAACUGGUGACUGGGGCUAAGUCGUAACAAGGUAUC
Molecule: ribosomal RNA, 198 nt
Filed under: uncultured bacterium
Lineage: Bacteria
Description: partial 16S ribosomal RNA
Rfam family: Bacterial small subunit ribosomal RNA
Source: RNAcentral